Molecule: long non-coding RNA, 525 nt
Organism: Ipomoea nil (Japanese morning glory)
Lineage: Eukaryota; Viridiplantae; Streptophyta; Magnoliopsida; Solanales; Convolvulaceae
Exons: 2
Source: RefSeq, a predicted model, not a curated record
AGAUCAAACACAUAUCCCUCCAAAUUCCCAAAACCACUUUUAUCAUUACGCAUUUUGGUUAUUAAAAUGUAAUAAUUUUUUAUAGCCAACUUGAUGAUACAUUGCACCCAACUUCUACUAUAAAUACUUGAUCAAUCGCCAUGCAGAAACUCACCCAGAUCAGAUCAGAGCAUAUAUAACACAAUGGCAGUCUUCAACAAGCAAAGUAACAUGUCUGUGAUAAUGGCGCUGCUGUUUGUAGCAGUACUAUGUUUGAUUGUUGCCUGUGCUGAUGCAGCUAGGUUGCCCCAUGACCCCACGGUUUUUCCUCAAGCUGGGUGUCGGUGCUGUGAGUUCAUAUGGAAGCCGAUGAUCCACUGCGGACGAGUGUGUUGCGAAGAUGGAUGCUGCGGAUGAUCCAUCCAUCCAUCUCAACUUUCUUACAUCAAUCCUAUAUUGUUAUCAACUUUAUUUUUACUUCCUAAUAAAUAAUUAUUGUAUCAAUUUUAUUUUACUUCAUAAUAAAUAAAUAAAUAUCAAAUGUUA